This 512-nucleotide long non-coding RNA is filed under the name Physcomitrium patens. Its description in RNAcentral is "long non-coding RNA (PPAT_LNC006698)". Lineage: Eukaryota; Viridiplantae; Streptophyta; Bryopsida; Funariales; Funariaceae. The record is from RNAcentral.
AUUUGGUUAGGAUUUGGUUUAAAAUUAGGAUUUGAAUUUAGAUUUUGAUUUAAGAUUUAGGAUUUGGUUAGGAUUUGAUUUAAGAUAAGAAUUUAGUUAGAAUUUGGUUUAGGAUUUAGGAUUUGAUUUAGAAUUUAAAGUUUGGUUAGGAUUUUAUUUAAGAUUAAGAUUUGAUUUAGGAUUAGGAUUUGAUUAGGAUUUAAUUUAGGAUUUAAGAUUUUAUUAGGAUUUAUUUAGGAUUUAAGAUUUAGUUAGUUUUUGGCCUAAAGUUUGAAUGAAGUCCAAUGGAAUUUUAACUAGGAUUAAAUUAAGAUUGAAUUGAGAUGUAUUUGACAUAUAUUUGUGAUCAUUCUAAUAUUUUUUUAAGAUUUUUUAUUAUUUCUUUAUAAUUCCUUUGAGAUUUCUUUGAAUUUGAUUAAAGCUUUUUUAGCAUUGUUAUAGUCUAAUUAGAAUUUAAUUAGUGUUCUAUUAGAGUUAGGAUUUUAUUGUUACAAUUUCUAUUCUACCUUCUA